GUCAAGCCAUGGAAGCUGGGGGUACCUGAAGACGGUCACCGCAAGGAGCUGUUUAGGGUAAAACUAGUGACUGGGGCUAAGUCGUAACAAGGUAGCCGUACCGGAAGGUGCGGCUGGAACACCUCCUUU
This 129-nucleotide ribosomal RNA is filed under the name Capnocytophaga genosp. AHN8471. RNAcentral's name for it is "partial 16S ribosomal RNA". It matches the Rfam family "Bacterial small subunit ribosomal RNA", at positions 1396 to 1533 of the family's 1533-position model. The record is from RNAcentral. Lineage: Bacteria; Pseudomonadati; Bacteroidota; Flavobacteriia; Flavobacteriales; Flavobacteriaceae.